Molecule: non-coding RNA, 152 nt
Filed under: Schistosoma margrebowiei
Lineage: Eukaryota; Metazoa; Platyhelminthes; Trematoda; Strigeidida; Schistosomatidae
Description: Archaeal large subunit ribosomal RNA
Rfam family: Eukaryotic large subunit ribosomal RNA
Source: Rfam by way of RNAcentral
AACUAGUUUAGCCAAGCGUUCAUAGCGACGUCGCUUUUUGAUCCUUUGAUGUCGGCUCUUCCUAUCAUUGUGAAGCGGAAUUCAGCAAGCGUUGGAUUGUUCACCCACUAAUGGGGAAAGUGAGUUAGGUUUAAUCCGCCGCGAGACAGGUU